AACAAGGAUUCAUCCUGUUGUUGUAUUCUGAACUAGCAGGGAAUCUCUGUUACUGGGGGUGAGGGUACAGAGAGCUCACACAAACACAUUCCGUCACACACACGAAGACGCACACCCAGACACACGUUUGUUAUUUUACUGCUUACACUUCUCCUGUACUGUGCUAUGUAUGUACUGUAUCUAAUUUGAUUAAAGAUGUGAGAAGAUGUUCUUGACUUCUGGGGUCUGUAUUACUAACUAGACUAUGACUGUGUGAGGAAUUGCUUGACUCAGUGUAUAGGUUUUUCAGGGAGUCAGUAUUGACUCAGUGUAGAGGUUUUGAAGGGAGACAGUACUGACUCAGUGUAUAGGUUUUUCAGGGAGUCAGUAUUGACUCAGUGCAGAGGUUUUGAAGGGAGACCGUAUUGACUCAGUGUAGAGGUUUUGAAGGGAGACAGUACUGACUCAGUGUUAAGGUUUUGAAGGGAGACAGUACUGACUCUGUGUAGAGGUUUUUCGGGGAGUCAGUAUUGACUCAGUGUGGAGGUUUUUCAGGGAGUCCGUAUUGACUUAGUGUAGAGGUUUCAGUGUAGAGGUUUUGCGGGGAGACAGUAUUGACUCAGUGUAGAGGUUUUUCAGGGAGACGGUAUUGACUCAGUGUAGAGGUUUUUCAGGGAGACGGUAUUGACUCUGUGUAGAGGCUUUUCGGGGAGUUAGUAUUGACUCAGUGUAGAGGUUUUUCGGGGAGUCAGUAUUGACUCAGUGUAGAGGUUUUUCAGGGAGACGGUAUUGACUCUGUGUAGAGGCUUUUCAGGGAGUCAGUAUUGACUCGGUGUAGAGGUUUUUCGGGGAGUCAGUAUUGACUCAGUGUAGAGGUUUUUCAGGGAGUCAGUAUUGACUCAGUGUAGAGGUUUUUCAGGGAGACAGUAUUGACUCAGUGAAGAUGUUUUGCAGGGACAGUAUUGCAAUUUUCCUGUAUGUGUUUUUACAUUUCCCUCCUCUGAAAUAAAUAAAUAUUGUGUUUAUCAACACUGAAUCACCACUGACCCCCACAGCCCUUUGUUGGUCUCACCCUGUUGGUUACAGGACAGGGCCAGAGCAUGGGGAGGGUGGAAGGAAUAAUCCUCAUGUGGGCGGGUAUUUACUUAUCUGACACUUUCAUCCAGCACACUAUGAACCCCUGGGAACCUCUACACAAAUGCACACACAUGGCACACAGUUCAGUUCCCGUGGUAAUGGUCCUAAACUACCCCCUCACCCACCCAACACACACACUCACACAAACACACUCAGAUCCCGGGAGCAGUCCUGUGAGACCUCACAUUAACUCGCCGGUCGACGUUUGGCCAUGACACACCGGCAAGGGUGCGAUGCGGCGGAACGACCGGAAAAACAAAUAUGCCAAAACAAUGUGCUGGUGAGGGGUAAUCAAACGGAGCAGAGGAAUACAC
Molecule: long non-coding RNA, 1430 nt
Organism: Oncorhynchus tshawytscha (Chinook salmon)
Lineage: Eukaryota; Metazoa; Chordata; Actinopteri; Salmoniformes; Salmonidae
Source: Ensembl